GGGAGAGACAGAGCAGGAAGGAACCCCCAUCGUACCAUACGUUCUGGAACUCCGGGACCGCAUGGAGAAACUGUCCCUAAUGGUAAGGGAGAAUCUCCAGGCGGCCCAGGGGUGACAGAAGAUGUGGUACGAUCGGGGAGCCCAACAGCGGGUCUUCCAGGUUGGGCAAAAGGUUUUAGUGCUCAAACCUGUGAAGACGAACAAGAUGCAAGCAUCUUGGCAGGACCCGUAUAAAGUGUUAGCUCAGGUGUUUGAUACUACCUACCUUAUAGUCAGCUGUGCAGAUGAAAGGAUUCAGCGAUCCUUUCAUGUGAAUAUGCUGAAGGAGUAUCAGGAGAGACCAGAAGAUGUCACUGCAGUGUAUGCCUGGCUGCCGACGACCCUGAGAAUUUACCUCUGCCUGACUUAUUAGAGAAGUACCCCCAGACUGACCUCACUAGUCUUGUACAGCUAGGGGAUCGGCUGAG
Molecule: non-coding RNA, 467 nt
Organism: Pelobates cultripes (western spadefoot toad)
Lineage: Eukaryota; Metazoa; Chordata; Amphibia; Anura; Pelobatidae
Source: the annotation of a GenBank genome assembly